GCAUGUGAAGCCAACCGGUGAGGCGCGAUUCUUAUAAAGUCGUAAUAGCAGGUUCGAUUCCUGUCAUAUGCA
Molecule: transfer RNA, 72 nt
Filed under: bacterium
Lineage: Bacteria
Description: tRNA-Ile
Rfam family: tRNA
About the family: Transfer RNA (tRNA) molecules are approximately 80 nucleotides in length.
Source: RNAcentral